AGGGAGGGACAGAGGCAGCAUGUGCAUCAACGCGCGACUUACUGCACUCUAGGCUCCCACC
Oreochromis aureus is the source of this 61-nucleotide microRNA precursor. The record is from Ensembl. Lineage: Eukaryota; Metazoa; Chordata; Actinopteri; Cichliformes; Cichlidae.